UCAGUCGUACGUCGUUACCGAGUUUACACUCCCAAACCCUUAUGUGAACCGUACCUAUCGUUGCUUCGGCGGGAACGCCCCGGCGCCCUGCGCCCGGAUCCAGGCGCCCGCCGGAGACCCCAAACUCUUGUGUUUUUUUCAGUAUUCUCUGAGUGGCAAACGCAAAAAUAAAUCAAAACUUUUAACAACGGAUCUCUUGGCUCUGGCAUCGAUGAAGAACGCAGCGAAAUGCGAUAAGUAAUGUGAAUUGCAGAAUUCAGUGAAUCAUCGAAUCUUUGAACGCACAUUGCGCCCGUUAGCAUUCUAGCGGGCAUGCCUGUCCGAGCGUCAUUUCAACCCUCAGGGUCCCCGUUCCGGCGGGGAACCUGGUGUUGGGGAUCGGCCCGCCCCGCGCGGCGCCGUCCCCCAAAUUCAGUGGCGGUCUCGCUGCAGCCUCCCCUGCGUAGUAGUUACAACCUCGCAUCGGAGCUCAGCGCGGCCACGCCGUAAAACCCCCGACUUUCUGAACGUUGACCUCGGAUCAGGUAGGAAUACCCGCUGAACUUAAGCAUAUCAAAAGCCGGAGGAA
This 568-nucleotide ribosomal RNA is filed under the name Stachybotrys chartarum. RNAcentral's name for it is "eukaryotic LSU rRNA". The stretch from base 177 to 330 matches the Rfam family "5.8S ribosomal RNA". The record is from RNAcentral. Lineage: Eukaryota; Fungi; Ascomycota; Sordariomycetes; Hypocreales; Stachybotryaceae.